CCUACGGGCGGCAGCAGUGGGGAAUAUUGGACAAUGGGGGCAACCCUGAUCCAGCCAUGCCGCGUGUGUGAAGAAGGCCCUCGGGUUGUAAAGCACUUUCAGUGAGGAAGAACGCCUGGUGGUUAAUACCCAUCAGGAAAGACAUCACUCACAGAAGAAGCACCGGCUAACUCCGUGCCAGCAGCCGCGGUAAUACGGAGGGUGUGAGCGUUAAUCGGAAUUACUGGGCGUAAAGCGCGCGUAGGUGGCUUGAUAAGCCGGUUGUGAAAGCCCCGGGCUCAACCUGGGAACGGCAUCCGGAACUGUCAAGCUAGAGUGCAGGAGAGGAAGGUAGAAUUCCCGGUGUAGCGGUGAAAUGCGUAGAGAUCGGGAGGAAUACCAGUGGCGAAGGCGGCCUUCUGGACUGACACUGACACUGAGGUGCGAAAGCGUGGGUAGCAAACAGGAUUAGAUACCCUAGUAGUC
Molecule: ribosomal RNA, 465 nt
Filed under: Vreelandella stevensii
Lineage: Bacteria; Pseudomonadati; Pseudomonadota; Gammaproteobacteria; Oceanospirillales; Halomonadaceae
Description: partial 16S ribosomal RNA
Rfam family: Bacterial small subunit ribosomal RNA
Source: RNAcentral